UGAUGAGGACAACACUUCUGCCACCU
Molecule: non-coding RNA, 26 nt
Filed under: Mus musculus (house mouse)
Lineage: Eukaryota; Metazoa; Chordata; Mammalia; Rodentia; Muridae
Source: RNAcentral